Long non-coding RNA from Ananas comosus (pineapple), 1018 nucleotides. RefSeq lists it as uncharacterized. The record is from RefSeq and is a predicted model, not a curated record. NCBI's taxonomy places the organism in Eukaryota, Viridiplantae, Streptophyta, Magnoliopsida, Poales, Bromeliaceae. The transcript has 8 exons.
UCUCUUAUCUCUUUUCCUUCUCUUUCCCUCUCUAGACAAAGAAAGGCUUGAAGCUUGUGUUGACAGCCUUGGAGGAUUUGUGGGCUGAUGAAGAAACCUGAGCCAAGUAUAUUAUUCCUGCUGAUCGGAGUUACUACAAGACCUGGAACAACAACUAAUCAAGGACUUGAGAACUGAAGUCUUGUUGUUGUUGCUACCGAAAGGAAGGAAGGGACCAGUUGAUGCAGUAAGCAAGCAAUUUAGCAUCUGAUCAAGCUAGUAGUAGCAGAAUUGAAGUUGUGGGUUGUUGGAGCAGCAAGCUUGUGCUGUUGGUGUUGUUGGUGUUGCCGAAAUUCAGGAUUGAGCCACACGAUGCAGUGAACUAGUAAAUUCAGCAGCAAACUAAGCUUGGUAAUUAUGGGCUAAUUCGAGCUGCUGAAUAGAAAUUUCAGCAAGGGAGCAAUUUAGGAAUUGAUGGAAUUAAGUUAAUGGUGAAGUGAAGUUAACAAGUUGAUACUUCAGUUUGGUAGAUUUUCUUGGUGUUCAGAGCUGAAAAGAAGCCUAAAGGAGAGCUUCAAAUUAAGGUCGACGACGCGCUAUUUACGGUAGGGGCCGUUCUAGUGCUAUUUGCACUGAGUCGCGAGAGAUAGUUGUCAACGCAUUCCGGGAUAUUGAUCUCAGUUAAUUGACACCACUUCAGCUUGGUGGUGGUAGCUCCCCCGAGGCAGUGUACUCCGGAGCUGACACAUGAUAGGCUAAAGUAAUUGCCCUUGGACUAAAGUAUCUAUCCAGCAGACGGUCCCGUCGGGAGGCAGCUUAGGGCCCGCCAGGAAUUGAGUUGGUUCCAGUGCGAGCGUUGUGGCCGAGGAUCGAGGUAAGAGCCAGCAGCCUAGCUAGUGGACGCCCGAGUUGUAGUGGUUACCAGUUUGAGUUCAUGUAUCAUCUAUUUCGGUGUACAGAGACAUGUAAAUGAAUGUAAUAAGUGCAUGUAAAUAACUAAAUGUUUCAGUUAUGCAAGUUAGUUUAAAGUUUUAAAUUA